UGUCCAGACUCCUACGGGAGGCAGCAGUGAGGAAUAUUGGUCAAUGGCCGGAAGGCUGAACCAGCCAAGCCGCGUGAAGGACGAAGGUGCCAAGCAUUGUAAACUUCUUUUGUCAAGGGACAAAAUCAGGCUCGAGAGCCUGACCGAGGGUACUUGAAGAAAAAGCAUCGGCUAACUCCGUGCCAGCAGCCGCGGUAAUACGGAGGAUGCGAGCGUUAUCCGGAUUUAUUGGGUUUAAAGGGUGCGUAGGCGAACUGUUAAGUCAGCGGUAAAAGCCCGGGGCUCAACCCCGUACUGCCGUUGAAACUGCAUCCCUUGAGUGCGCGAGAAGUAUGCGGAAUGCGUGGUGUAGCGGUGAAAUGCAUAGAUAUCACGCAGAACUCCGAUUGCGAAGGCAGCAUACCGGCGCCCAACUGACGCUGAAGCACGAAAGCGUGGGUAUCGAACAGGAUUAGAUACCCGAGUAC
This 467-nucleotide ribosomal RNA is filed under the name uncultured bacterium. Its description in RNAcentral is "bacterial SSU rRNA". It matches the Rfam family "Bacterial small subunit ribosomal RNA", at positions 328 to 793 of the family's 1533-position model. The record is from RNAcentral.